RNAcentral lists this ribosomal RNA (690 nucleotides) under Triticum aestivum (bread wheat). RNAcentral describes it as "partial small subunit ribosomal RNA". Lineage: Eukaryota; Viridiplantae; Streptophyta; Magnoliopsida; Poales; Poaceae. The record is from RNAcentral.
AUGAGUCGGCACCCUGAAGUCAGGUGGGCUCAAAGGAUUGACAAGGUGUAUAUCACAGUACAAUUGCCUGACGCAAAGGAUGCCAAGGUCAAGCUGGAACCUGAUGGUGUAUUCUCUUUCUUUGCCACUGCUGGAACUGAUGGGAACUCCUAUGAAUCAAAACUGGAUUUGAAUGACAAAGUGAAUGUCGAGGCAAGCAAAGUAAGUGUUGGUGUCAGGUCCAUAUUCUGUAUUUUGGAAAAAGCCGACGCCAAAUGGUGGAAUAAGCUUGUUCCAGAUGAUCAGAAGGCACCACACUUCGUGAAAGUUGAUUGGGACAAAUGGGUCGAUGAAGAUGAUGAUGGUGCUGAUGUUAAUGUUGAUGGGAUGGACUUUUCGAAUAUGGGUGGCAUGGGCGGUAUGCCUGGCAUGGAAGGUUUGGGCGGCAUGGGUGGCAUGCCCGGCAUGGAAGGUUUGGGUGGCAUGGGUGGUAUGGGUGGUCUGGCUGGUAUGAUGGGUGGAAUGGGCGGUAUGGGUGGUAUGGGCAUGCCGCCUGGUAUGGAAGGUUUGGGUGGUAUGGGGAUGGAUGAUUUUGAGGAUGAGAGUGACGACGAAGGAGAAGUGUCGAAACCUCAAGACGCAGGGAAGUCUGAUGCUGCGGAAAUCUCCGAGGUGGAAGGCAAAGCUGGCACAGCUGCUCAGAGCAACUGA